Molecule: ribosomal RNA, 253 nt
Filed under: uncultured bacterium
Lineage: Bacteria
Description: partial 16S ribosomal RNA
Rfam family: Bacterial small subunit ribosomal RNA
Source: RNAcentral
UACGUAGGCAGCGAGCGUUGUUCGGAAUUACUGGGCGUAAAGAGUGUGUAGGCGGUGCUCUAAGUUCGGUGUGAAAUCUCCUGGCUCAACUGGGAGGGUGCGCCGGAAACUGGAGUGCUUGAGCAUGGGAGAGGAAAGCGGAAUUCCUGGUGUAGCGGUGAAAUGCGUAGAUAUCAGGAGGAACACCUGUGGUGUAGACGGCUUUCUGGACCAUAGCUGACGCUGAGACGCGAAAGCGUGGGGAGCAAACAGG